UACGUAGGGGGCAAGCGUUGUCCGGAUUUAUUGGGCGUAAAGAGCGUGUAGGCGGCUAGGUAGGUCCGUUGUGAAAACUCGAGGCUCAACCUCGAGACGUCGAUGGAAACCAUCUAGCUAGAGUCCGGAAGAGGAGAGUGGAAUUCCUGGUGUAGCGGUGAAAUGCGCAGAUAUCAGGAGGAACACCGGUGGCGAAGGCGGAUCUCUGGGCCUUACCUGACGCUGAGGAGCGAAAGCGUGGGGAGCAAACAGG
RNAcentral lists this ribosomal RNA (253 nucleotides) under uncultured bacterium. RNAcentral's name for it is "partial 16S ribosomal RNA". It matches the Rfam family "Bacterial small subunit ribosomal RNA", at positions 524 to 776 of the family's 1533-position model. The record is from RNAcentral.